Molecule: long non-coding RNA, 146 nt
Organism: Pteronotus mesoamericanus
Lineage: Eukaryota; Metazoa; Chordata; Mammalia; Chiroptera; Mormoopidae
Exons: 3
Source: RefSeq, a predicted model, not a curated record
GAAACCACUGCCGCACCACAAGGCCCAGCAACUGGGAGUAUGACAGGCACCACUGGGGUAGCCCCAGGCACAGCUGUUGGCCCUGGCACCUCCAACACAGGUAUAGUCUCCGGACGAACUGCGCCCCCCUGAAAUUUAUAUCACGG